RNAcentral lists this long non-coding RNA (39358 nucleotides) under Gossypium barbadense (sea-island cotton). RNAcentral describes it as "long non-coding RNA (GBAR_LNC009475)". The record is from RNAcentral. Lineage: Eukaryota; Viridiplantae; Streptophyta; Magnoliopsida; Malvales; Malvaceae.
UUUUUUUUUUUUUUGUCUUCAUUUGAUUUGGUAUUUGUGACGUGACAUUCUACACCAACCCCAUAUCAGUUUAGGUAAAAAGUAAAACAUUUUAAUCAGCCGUUCUCCAUCUCUAUAGUGGGUCCUCAAGUCGGAGUUCUUUGGCUGCGGCUGCUACCGUUAACAACCCUUCUUGUCAGGAGAAGAUGAAGAAGCGUGAAACACGGUGUCAUCCAGUGGUGGUGGGGCAGAUUCUUGUGGUGUUUCACAUGGGUAGUGGUUCAGAUGUGAUUUGGGCCCCUACUCCUUACUAAUGACUUCAAAGUUUUUGGCUUUUUCAGCUUUUUUUCCUUUUAAAGUUCAAGUUUUCUUCAAUGUAAAGCACUGUGAAUCAAUGGAGUUUAGGGUAUCGUUAAUUCUUUCUUUUUGUUUCUUUCCGUUUUGGGUAAUGUAGCGUUCUGUUUCAUGAAAUUAUUAUCAUUGCUUACCUUUUGUUUAAAUUUUUAUUUUUAUUUUAUUUUGUUGUAUUGUAAUUUCGAUCUGAAUAUUUUGGUUCAUAAUGUUUUACUUUUACCCAUUAAUAUAAAACUGACGUGGAAAAUAAAAUAACACGUGGUAUCAUUGGGUUGGUCCACAACUCCAUGUUGGAUUUCCGUCAUGGUUUGGGGUUAAGCUAUUAACGGGGUGAUUUUACACGUACCAAGAAAAACAUAGGUACCACGUUGAUGAAUGAGGUAUAAUUCAGGUGUCAAUAUGAAUAUUAACCCUUUUUUUUGAAAGGUUAUUGAAUUAAAAUUACAUUUUAAUCAUUCAAUUAUUAAAAUUUAUAUUGUAGGCACCUAUAUUAUUGGAUUAUUUCAUUUUGAUCCAAGCUCGUUAACUUCCAUUAUUUUCUUUUAAGGAAAAGAUGACAUGGCAUGUUGUCUUAAUAAUUCUUUUGGCCUUUAAAGUAUAAUUAAAAUUCCAGUUUGAUGCUUUUAAAUUUUUUAAUGAUAAUUCUAAAAAAUUAGAAAAUAUUCUAUACAUAUUUAAAAAAUUUUAAAAAUUAAAAAUCAAAUCAAAUUCUAAUCAAAUUUGGUCAUAUUUAAUCUUAAUCCUCCUUUGGGCCCGGUUGCUACUCACAAUGUUGUUAAGUACAUAUUCUCUUUCGAUAUCUAUUAUCGGCAGCAAUAACUAAUCUUCUCAUUAUGGGGGUUCUCCAAAGAGGUAAAAGAUUAGCCAUGAAAUGUGAUUUUUUUCCAUGAGUGAUCACCACACCAUAUCUCAUGGUUGAUGGUUAAGAUUUGAGUUUAUUGUUAUUAUAAUUAUAUAUUUAUGGCUAAAGGGUCAAAAAAGUCCUCCAGAGAAAAUAAAAAAUCGAUUAUCCUACUACUACUCACAACGUUGGUAAGCCCAUAUUCUCCAUCAAUAUUCGGUGUCGACAGCAAUAACUAAUCUUCUCGUUAUGGGGCUCUCCAAAGAGAUAAAGAAUUGGCUAUGAAAUGUUAUUUUUUCUCAUGAGUGAUCACCACACCACACUUCAUUGUUGAUAAUUAAGAUUUGAGUUAAGUUGUUAUCAUGGUUAUAUAUUUAUGGCUAAAGAAUUAAAAAAAAAAGUCAGUAGAAAAUAAAAAAUCAACUAAAUCUUCAUAGAAAAAGUGCACUCAAUUGAACAUUCAGAGAUGAAAAAAAAUCAAUGAUGUUCUUCCGUUAAAUUGAUCAGUUUAGUUGUUAAUGAAUGUUGACAUAAUUAACGAAAGCAAUAGGAAACUCGAAACAUGGCAUUCCACGUGGACAAACAUGUAUAUAAAAAAUGAAAAAUCUUAAAAGAAUAUUUCUAAAAAUACACAUCUAGAAUGAACUUAGAUAUCGUCUAUGUUCAUUUACAGUUGAACAAUAUUUUAUCUAGAUUUAUCAUAGAUGUGAUUAUAAAAAAAUCAUAAAAUAUUUUUUAAAACAUAAAAAUUAUUACAAAUUGAAAAAAAAUACAAAACAAAAGUUAAAUUUUACAAAUUAUUUAAAAUAAAAAAAGUAAAAAUUUUUAAGCAAUUGAAAAUUCAUAGAAUGUCUCAAGAAAAAUAAUUUAAAGAGAUUUAUUUUUAAUUUUAAUAUGAAUUAUGGGUAGGGGAAAAAAAAUACAACGAAGACUCCAGUGACAUGUUUGUCGUAAUCAAUACAGUUGUUGUCACUGUUUUGCUCUUUUACGGCUUCUUCAAUGUUGGAUUUGUCCUGAAACUCUAUUUUGGCGUUGCAAGUUUACUACCGCAGUCUCACUUUAUGCCCUUCUCAUUUCACCGUUCAUCAAUUAUGUCAAAUAAUUGGCUGCGCUCUUUUCAUUUCAUCCUUCAUUAAUUUAAACCCUGUUAAAUUUUAAUAUAUAUAUAUUUUAAGUUUUCCAUAACAAAAUCAACCCAAAUAACUCAUAUUUAAUAAUUUUCUACGAAACUUACACUUGUUUUAAUUAUAUAAUCUCGAAUCUUUCAUGCUAACGUAAAAGCAAAUAAAAACCCUUACAAUUAAUUAAAAUUAAUUGCUUAUUCUUCAUAUGGGUAAAGAAGUGAUGAAAAAUUCUAGGUUUUGUUUGGUAUGGAAGAUAAAAUUAAUUAAUUAAAUUAAUUAAAAGAAUUUUUCUUUCCUUUUAGCUUAACAUGAAAGAUUCAAAAUCAUAUAAUCAAAAGAAUCUUUGAGUUCCGUAGACAAUUAUUAAAUAUGAGUUAUUUGAGUUGAUUUUGUAAUACUCCUUACCUGGUUCGAUCGUCGGACCUAAGUUAUAAGGUACUACAAGCAAAAACAAAACAUUUAAUCACAUUUCCUAAUUCAAAUGUUAAUGCAACAUCAAUUUAUUUAAAUAUAUAAUCAAAUACAACAUGCAAUUCAUUCAAUCUCAGGUUUAUAUUGAGUUUACGAAAGUUUAAAAUUGAUCCGAUAACAAUUAGGGAUUAAAUUGAAUCAAAAACAAAAAAAAAAAUAGAAAAGUUUUACAAACAGGGAUCACACACCUGUGUCCUCUGACCAUGUAAAGGGAUUCUAGCCGUGUGGAAUGGGUCACAUGGUUGUGUCAUCGGGCCGUGUAAUAUACUUAGUCGUGUGCACCAAAAUCACCUAAAACUUUAUGAACACACGGCUGUAUCAUAUGCCUGUGUAUGGCAAACAGUCGUGUCUCAACUCGAGUGUACUUGAAAAUACCUUUUAAUGCAAGCUUAACAACCCAACUUCACUUAUACUAGAAACAACUGAAUAUACCAUACUUUAAGCAAUUUAAAAACAUUAAUUUCAUGCGAAACAUCAUUUAUUUCAACCAAUCUAAGUACCUAACUAAUAUGCCACGUUUGACACCUCAAUUGACAAUUCAAAAUCACUAAAACAUCACAUACAUAUCAUUCCAAUAAGCCAUCAAUAGAACCUCAACUAACAACUAGUUAUACAACAAAAUGACCAUUCAAGCAAGUUAUAUGCACCAAGCCUACCAACUCAUUUUAAGCAUACAUAAAUUUACAAAUCACCUUUAUGUACCUAUUCUUUGUCACAUCAUCUAAUCACCAUCUAAACAAGCAAAUGUACAAGUCAAUCUAUUCAUCAAAAUGUCAUUUUCAUGACCAUUGUAAUCAAACACAUAUAUACAUAUACAUAAUCCUCAAAAUGCAACAAGAAUCUUGAAAUAAAACAUUAAUUGCCCAAAAGACAACUUAGGUAUAUGCCAUGACCAAAUUUUAAAAUAUCACUCACGAUUGAGUUCGGGAUUGUCGUUGGAUGCUGAGUUAACGACAGAAUUGUAAAGUACCUAAUCCGCAUACGGAAAACAAAGUCGUACGCUGAGUAUAACUCAGUGGUAUUUCUAUAUCUACCAUUAGAUUAUAAUAUAAAUUAUGUAAUGCAUAAUUUAACAACAGGAUCUAAUGCAAACUAAUAUUGGAGAGCUAUGUCAUAGUGCACCAUUUAAUAUUACAAUUCGAUUUACUAUAAUAAAUCAAUCUAACAUAGUUGUAACAUAUACAUAUCUCCAUAUAACAAUCGAAAUAAUUUUAUUGCUUUAAUAUUAGAUUCACAUUUCCGGACUUAACUCUGGUAUCCUCUAUUCAAUUUGAUUUAUAGUCAAUGUCCCAAAUCCAUAAUGUUAUUUCAUCCAUCAUUCUUCAAUACAUAUACGCAGUAAUAUAUACAUCACAUCUCAAAAUAGAUUCAAUUUCAUAUUUAUAUCAUUAUACGAUAUUUUCAAAAUUAUUCACUUUAGUCCUCAUCGCAAAUAACAAAUCUGAAUUGAAUCAAUUUAGCUCUUCUUAUCAUUUUUAACUCACCUUAUAAUCUUACCAUGCAAUGCAGUUCAUAAAUGCAUCAAUUGAAAUAGUUCGGAUCAUAGCAACACAAAUCGUAAACUCUGAGCUAUUUGUUGAUGAUUUUAUCCUUUCCUUUCCGUUUUGAGAGAUUUGGGUUGACGUUAGCUACGGAAUAACAUAACUACACCAAAUCAUUAAUACACAAUCAUUUUCACAUUCAAUUGCUAAUUUAUGUUAAUUUUUUAUUUUAUUCAAUUUAGUCCCUAAAAUCGGGACUAACAUAACUUUCAAAUUAAGCCACCAAUUUUUAUAUCGAUUUCACUUUAGGCCUAAUUUAACUUCUUAUUUUUCAUUUCUACCCCAAAAUUUGAAAUUUGUGCAAUUUAAUUCCUAUUGCAUAAAAUCAUCAAUUGACUCUACAAUUUAGUCAUUUUUCAAUACUAAACUUAAAGUCUAUCAAAUUAAUCCCUAAAACUUCAAUUACUCAACAAUGUUAACAUCCACAAACUUUAACAAUGACGAAAAUAUAACAUGAGUCAACUAAUUUGAAUUCCCAAAAUUUAAUAAUAAUAAUAAUAAUAACCUAAAUUAAACUAAUCAAAUGGAAGCUUGAAUGCCCUUGCCGUUGGUCUACCUUUCUCCCGAAUUAGCUUCGAAUUUUUAAAGGUGAAAAGAGAACGAAUACUUUCUCUUUCAUUACACCAAACUUUUAUUUUUACUUUAUUAAUUAUGUUUUCAUUUUUUUAUAAAUUUUAAUCUUUAAUAUUUUAUAAUAUAAACAUACAUUCGCACAUUAGUAACCCGCCAUAUAUCUUCUAAGUUUAUUUUUUAUUUAAGCCCUAUAUAUUAUCUUUUAAUUAAAAAUCUUUAACAAUUAUCACUUUUAUCAUUUAUAAGCUUAAAUUAAUCCCUAAUUCGAUAAAAUUAUUUUACUGAAAUUCAAUUCACUUGUAUCAUAACUCUAUAAAUAUUUUAAUAAAAAUAUUUGCAUGUACGGUUUACGAAAACGAGAUUCUAAUAUCUCAAUUUCUAAAAUCACUUACUUUAGAACCGAUACACUUAUACCUUGUCUAGCUUUCCAAAUAAUCAAAAUUAUUAGACCAAACUUCAGUAUAAUACUAUAAUACCCUUGUAAAUAUUAAUUAUUAAUAUUUACUGACUCUAUCAUCGAAAUAUAGAAUUCCAAAAUCACCGUUUAUGACACCACUGACUUUUAGGUAUUACAGAUUUUAAUUUAGAAACAUACAAUAAAAUUUUAUAUUUUAGAGGGAGAUUAAAUUAACUAAUUUAAUUAAUUUCAAUAUUGAAUAAGAAAUUUCAAUAAUUUAUGGUAUUUUACUGGUGAUUCAUUAAAUUGACUUGAAAGAGAGACUUCACAAUAGUUUGAAGAAUUAACUUGAAAGAAUCUUUCAUGAUUGCAAGAAUAAGAUCCCCAAGGGAUGAUAACUCUAUAUAUAUAUAUAUAAAGAGAAACAACAUACACUAGAAAUUUUGCAGUGACAAAACAAAACUAAAUGCUUAAAGAGUACAUCAUGGCUGUCAUUGAUGAUCAUAUUCAGCUGCCAAAAAAGCUUUCAAUAUUUAGCCCUCAUUGUCCCCCCCCCCUCCCUCUCCAUAUAGAGAUUGCUGCAUCAUCACCUUUAAAGAAGCCAACCCAUUUUCCUUGUGCAUAAACUCAACCACCGUACAUUACUGACAAAGCUUUUAAAAUGGCAAGAACUCACUAAUCAUCUCAUCAACCAAGACAUUCAGUAUUUGACCCUCGAUGUCUGCUCCUAGUGCGAACGCAUCUACUUUGAAAUCCAGCCACUUUCCAUGUUGGCUUCUCAUGUCUUUGUCCACAAGCUCAUCCACCAUGCAAUCUCCCAUGCCUCUCCACCCACAUAUCUCCUUGUACACUUCUUCAGCUAGCCACUCAUUUCGUCUCAGGAUUGUCAUCCCUUUCGUCCACGUUUUGUAUCCUCCACCAACAUACCGUCUGCAUCUCAAGUCCAUGCAUUCACUGACUGAAUCAAAUAGUACCUUCCGUUCUAGCCUCGACUCACCAUCACGUCCAAAUCCAACACUUCGGCUUUCCAACUGAUCAAAGAGAUGAGGAUUUAUAGUUUCACGAGCACGGCCUAAGGCGAAGUCCUUGAACAUUAACUCCACGUUACACAGUAUCAGCUUCACAUAUUCUAGUUCCCAGUUGGAUGAUUUCAUGGAUUCUGACAUAACAACAAUAUUUUCAUUACAUUUAGCCACAGUUCUUGAAUACAUGGAGGAAGCAGAAUCUGAUAACUCUGUAUCAGCUUCUAGUGAGCGUAGCUUCUUUAAAGAACUUAGACCAAGAACUUCCUGAGCUUGGACAGAUGAACACUGCUUACUUCCUGAAAUAAUAUCCGGGAUACGCAUUAGUAUACCCAUAGAAAAACUUAUAACAUAGAUUCAGUAUUGAACAUAAAGGGUAAGCCACGAGCUUUACCUUCUAUACUGAAACUAUCAGUGCUAUCUGAAGAGUUGCAGCUUUCAGUUGAAAACGUCUGUUCAAGGAUAGAAACUGGACUAGGUUGCCAAGCAUCAAGAGGGCUGCUACUGCAUUCAUCAACUCCUCCCUGAAUGUACCAUAACAGUGUUAAAUAUCAAUUCAUGAAAUAGUUUUGAUGCAUUUGAUAACAACAGUCUCUCGUGCUUGAGAAGAAAAAUGGUUAACCAUUAAAACCUCAAAGGUGACACACAAUCAAGCUGCAGAUAGAAAUGCUAAAUCUUUUACCUGAAGCUUGUGUUUCAAUCCAAGCAGUUGAAAAUCAGCAGAGGAAAGAUUGGAACUGUGACAACUACCAAGUUUAUCAUGUAACGGGGGCAAGCUAUUGAAGGCAUUAGGAGUGCUGUGCGCAAAAUCUUGUGAAAAUGAUGUAGAACUAGAAGGUGAUCCUGAAUUGAGAGACUUUUGGCAGGACGAUUCGACCGCAUUACUUAAUUCUCUUAGCUUCUGUUCCAAAAGCAUGCUUAAAGCAUCUCCCCCUAUCACAUUAUAUCCUGAUGAAGGCAACUUCAGACUCUCAAUGUCAGGCAACAAUCUCUUACCCCGGUUAUCCAAGCAAAAGCUGUUAUUUUUCUGAGAAACCUGAGAUGUUUCCAUUGAACGGGUAAGCGGGGCUGUGAAUGUGAAUGAGACAACAUCCAUGCCUUUCUUCUUGCUAUCUUCAACCCAGCUGAUGUUCCUUUCUGUAACAGGAUGAUCUUCCUUCUGGUUUCUGUCAAUCAACACACUAUCAACAACCUGAUUUUUCUCAAAAUGGAAAUCCCUAUCUAUUGAUCUUUUCUUCCUCGGGUUCUUUGUACUGGAAUAUGGACCUCCUUUUUCGCUAUCCGCUGUAACUAAUCCCAACUUCCUCGAGGCAGUUUUGGAAUUUCCAACAGUUUUAACUGACAUUCUAUGUUGCGCAAAAGCGGAAUCCCCAGAGAGCACUUUUCUACUGUGCGAAUUGGCACCCGCAUUCUUUGAAGGUAAUUUUUCCUUAUUGGCUAUAGAGUUCUGCUUCUGAUUGUUCUGCCUGAGUACACUAGAAGAAUUGUGCAUUGAAGGUUUCUUAUGCAAACUCUUUUGAGUACUUGGUUGACUCUUGAAGGCUUGACUACACUUAACCUCACUCUGGUCUUUUGACCCUAACAAACUCCGGUUGCUGCUCGAAGCUAAUCCUUCUCUUUUCUGCACAUUGGCCUUAGCUUGGAUUGCAAGUGAUAUCGACUUCCCUUUAUUCUUUAAAGCAGAAGAAAUUUCUUCAGUAUCAGAAGUCCUGGGUGAUGUUGUCUCUAUGGAUCCAUUCCAGCUCUUGUUCAAAGAUUGUCCUUUAAGAUACUUGACCGCAUUUGACUCAACUGGCCUUCUAGUCCUUUCAGUGAGCCUUGACGUCUUAUGUGCAUAUUCUGUUUUCUCUUUUAAAUCUUGAGCUUUCAAGGGCACAGAAGAAGAUCUGACCACAGGCAUUUUUUGCGCAGCCUCCAUUUUUUCUUUGAAAUCACGAACUUUCACCGGCACUGAGGACGAACCAACUUGAGGCAUUUUGGCUCUAGUUGUGGCUUGUGGGCCAGGCUGAAUAAUUCGUGCAGCUGUUUCCAUUAUGUGAGCCGCAUUCUUAAUCGGAAUAAAACCAGGACUCUUGAUAGGAGACAAAAGUUUAUGGUGGGUAAUGGGAAUUGUUUUAGCUGCCUUAGGGGGCAAACUUUCGAUUUGGAAUUUCUCUAUAGGCUUGCUGACUGUCUUCUGAGGCAUUGACUCCAUAAAGUUCCUCGCAGGGCCCUCAAUCUUACUGAAAAGAUCUCCAGGAUAAACUCCUAGUUGGUCAUUAUGAUAAUUAAGGUUUCUAUUCCAGAAAUGAGCAUCUCGAAGAGAUUGAGUGUCAAACAAAGGGGUGGAGUAUGGCUCAGAAUAUGUGGGUAACGAAUCUAAUCCCAUAAGCCUGGUAACCACACUGGGGGCCCUAGUACCAUACAUAUCAUCAUCUGUGACUGAGGAAGCACAACUAUAAUCGCUACUUCCCUUUAUGCUUGUCCCAGCUCCAAUUUCAUCCUCAUCGGUCUGCAAUAAUGACAGCAACAAUUGUAAAGGAAUCUCAAUUGAAGUGCUACUGUUCAAGAGUGUAAAAGGAUCAACCCGCAAUUCAACUGAGAUUUGCUAGUUCUCACCAGAUGGAGUCGUGUCAUCGGCAAGUUCCCAUCAUUUCUCUUUCCCUGUUUUGAUCGCUCUAAAAAAUUGAAGGGGAAAGAAAACAUUAGCAAACAUAAAAAAAGACGGUAUUAUAGCAUAAGAAUAUAAUUUGCAAUUGCAUAUGCUUGCCAUGCAAGCCAACAAACAUGUUGCAUUCUUAUCUGUAUAGGGAAGACAAUUAUACCUGGAAAAUCAGACUUGCUAGAGAAUAACUUCUUCCGAGAUUUCGCUUUCCAGUCAAAUAGCUGAAAAAGUCCACCUACAUAACCUCCAUUUUUUGGUCCUUCUUUGUCAACCCCCAUUGGAUAAAAGCAGAAUUUGAACUGUUUAAAUUAUACAAGCAAAUGAUACAAGAGAGACAGAAACUCCACUCCACCGGCCAAAUCCAUCUGCAGACAUUAUUAGACACAACAAACAGUUAAGUACGGACCAAAUUGAAAUUCUGACCAUUUUUUUCUAAAAAGCAUAUGCAUGCUAUUCAACACUCCAAGAUAGGAGCUUUCUUUGUAAUUUCAGUCAAUAUUUUAUCAGAUGAAAUGGAAGAUCAGAUAUCUAUCUGGUACCCUAAAAAGGAUGUUAAAAGCCUAUCAAUGGAGAUGAACUUGUUUCUUUUUACCCUGAGAUCUCUAAAAACAAAAAACACGGCCAAAUGUAGCAUCUGUAUCUUCAUUUUUCAUGCCACUUAACUAGACAUUGCACACCUUUUUUUCUGCCAUUGACUUGGCAGAAUUUCAAACAGCUAAAAUUUGUCAAACAAGCAAGACAAUAUAAGAACAUGAAAUGAACACAAAAAUCACAUUGUCACCAUCUUAAAUCUAUGUCAUAGUGCACUCAUUCUUAAGAUAUUUAGCUCUUUUAUUCCCACACUUUCCGGUGACAAGCGACUUACAAUGUCAAAGCCCUUCUAUAUCAACAUCUCUACAAUAUUAUACCAUUUGAAAUUAGCUUUAACAGAUGAAGUUCCUAUGGUACUAAGGGGGAUUAACAAAAAAAAAAAAUUGUAGAAACUAAUUGCAUACUCUCAUUUUACCAAAAAAAACACCUUAGGUCCCAAUUCUAAUAAAAUCUGCAAAUAAAAGGCUGUCUGAGAAUGAUAGAAAGAGAUAAAUUGCCCCUAUAAUUUAGCAAGCAAUUCAAUUUAAUUCAACAUCCAUCGAGAAGACUAGAUUCAAAUAUUUUAAGGGCACAAUCCUUUAAAGAAAACAAUUCUUUGACAAACAAUAAAUAAACAUACAGGCUCAAACCAACAACACAAUGAUCAAUAAGCAGCAAUUUGAUAAGAAAAGCAAUUGCCAAAUCCCCCCCCCACAAAAAAAAGAAACAAAAAGAAACCCAGAACUUUAAAUGGAAGAAAAAGACUUACACUGAAGUCCAAUGAAUGAGAUCAGCUUAAAUGCAGCAAUAUUUCAUGGUUUCAGCUUAAAUGCAACAAUAUUUCAUGGCUCAACUUAAAUAUAGAGAAAAGGACAGAACAUUGCAAUGGGGUUCAGCUUAAAUUUGAGAUUUUUGGGAGAAACAAAAGUGAAAGGCUCCUUCUUUGAGAGUCAGAAAAGAACUGAGGGAUAAAGAAAGAGAGAAGGGUGUGUUUGUGUGUAUGUGUGAUGUAGUUCAAAGCAAUAAAUGGAGACACAGAGUAAAUAAUAGCAUAGGGGUUUUCCAUUUUUUUUUUAAAAAAUAAUAAAAUUAAAAUUGCUUUGCUUAAAAUUUUGUAAUUUAAUUUUAAUCAUUAUUAAAACGAAGUGGAAUUAAAAAGCCUAUAACGUCUCUUUUAACAGGGUGACUGUUCCUGGGAAUUCUGAUAAACUUACAAGUGGGUUUCAAUUAGUUUGUGUACUACUUAAUGGAUUGGUAAACACGUGUUCAAAUCCCUUUUCUGUAAAUUUGAGGCAACUUGGUAAUUCAAUGUCUAAUCAAAUGGGCCUUUAAUCUAUAAUAUAUAAAUUGAUAUUACAAGUUAAUUUCUGAAUUUAAUUAAUUUUAAUAUAAAAAUUUGAUUUUAAUAUAUUUUAUUAAAUAAAUUUAAGAACACCCAUAUAUUUUAAUUUAAAAAUAUUUAUUUCAAAAAAUACAUCAAAUGUUACUUUUAUUAUUUUCAUAAAUAUUUUAAAAGUAAUUUUUAAAAAACUCUACUCCUAUUGUGAUCGUGCAAUAUCUCGUAAUAAUAAAAUAAAUAUUUUUUCUUAAAUAAUUAUACUUAGUUUUAAACUUGUGCAAUGUACGAAGGUACAUUAUAUUUUAAUAAAUUUUAAAUUUAAUAUUAAUAAAGUGAUAAUAUUUUUAUUUUCCAUUUAUAUUUGAAAUAUUUGUAUUUAAUAAAAAAGAACUAGAAUCAAAUUAUAAUUUAUAGCAUAAAAAACUUCUCAACAAAAAUUAAAAUGAAAAAACUUAUUUUAAUUAACAUUAAACUAUAAAGAUUGAUGUAAACUAACAAGUGAUUGGAUGUAAUGGUAAAACAUAUUACACUUUUAAUAAGAAAAUAAAAUUCGAACUUUAAAAAUGAUAAUCAUAAAUCUUGAGUUUACCUCUAGUAACCCAAAUUGAGUCGCACUAACACCAUUAAUAUACAUAACAUUACAAACUAAAAAUCAGAACCAUUUUCCAUUUUCUAACACCAUGCUAAGAACAUUGAAUUUCUUUGGACCCCAAUUUUAGCAAGGGCAAUAUUCCAGCUACUUGCUUAAAUUAAUUGCUUAUAGUUUAUUGUCAGUGACACAUUAAUUUAAUUAAAUAUAAAUUUAAUAAACAUAAAUUUAUAUUUAUAGCUUUGUAUAUUACGUUAAUAAAUAUCUUUGAAUUAAAAAAUAUUUUCGAAUAAAUAUCUAUCUAAUUUAUGAAUGUAUUAUUUGUUAAAACGUCCACAUGAGCGAAUUUGGAUAUUUACAAAGAUAUUAUUAUAAAACUAUUAAAUCUAAUUUUACCUAAAUUUCCAUGCACUUAAAAUUAUAUGUAACAUUGGAUUGGAAUUUUUAUAAAUUAUAAGUUAUAAAUAUUAUUAUAAAACUAUUAAAUGUAAUAAACUUUUAUCUAUUUUAUUUAAGCAUACUUAUCUCGUACAAUUUCCUUAAACUUUAUAUAAUUAUACUUUCCUUUUUUUUAAUUCUCUAUUAGAACUGGCUGUGAUCUCUCUCAACAAAAUUUUAGGCCAAUUUUUUAGGUUUAGGCUUGAUUCAGUCUGAAAAAUGGGUUUAAAAUUUUGUUCUUGUCUAAAUCGAAUUAUAGAAGCCAAAUUUGACCCGAUCUGACCCGGCCCAUAUUAUUAUUUCUAGAUUAUUUUAUUACAUACAACAAAUUUUAAAAAAAUUAUAAUAUAUCAAAUACACUUAAAAAUAUUAAAAUAAAUAUUAAAACAAUAAACAAAUUUAAAAUACAUUAAAAGUUCUUUAUACUAAGAUAGUUGCAACUGAAAUAAUAACAAAAUUAACAAUAAAAUAUAAGUUCUACAAUAUCCAAAUAAUAUUAAAAACGACAACGAAACAACAUUAAAAAGAGUAACAAAACAAUAUAAAAAAUACACAAAAAAAAACAAAAAUAAUUGUACAAACAGCAAAAACAACAAAAAUAACAACAAAAAGAGCAAAAAAAAUAAUAGCAAAAAACAACAACAAAAUACCAAGAACAACAAAAAAAACAAGAUAAUUUUUGUUAAAAAUAAUUAAUUUAUUCAGGCUAAGCCGAACCUAGGCCAAAAGACUUUUAUCUGAGGCCCUGCCUGUCUAGAAAACGAACCUCAUUUUUUGUUCAAACCCAUUUUUUAGAUUUAUAUUUUUGUCGAAAUCCUCCCAUUUUUCGGGUGGACAGCCUAGCCCAUGAUCAAAUCUAUUCUCUAUUUAUCCAUUAUCAUAUUUUGUUAACACAUUUAUGUAUUUCACAUGAAUUCAUUAAAAUUCAAUUACCAUUAUUUUUUUUAAUAUCAGUAUUUCACAAAUUUAAUUAUUAGAUUAUUGCUUUUUAACUCAUUCGCAUUUUAUUUUUAUUUUUUGAAAUAAUAUAGCUGGAGUAUAUUAAUAAAUAAAAAAAUAAUCUAACAGCCAUAAUAAAUGAAAAACUAAAACCCCUUAAACAGUCAAAUAUCAUUUCCUAAAAACAAUAAUUAUACCCCCGCCUAAUUAAUGGACUCUGCCUUUUGAAAAGACAUAUCACAAUCAAAAGUCCAUUUCCAAAUAUUUCCUUUCCCAAAACUAGAUCCUUAUGGCUUUUAGAAUCAAAAGCGUUCAACAUUGGCCAGAAAAUCACCACUAUUUAUUUUCUCCUCCUAACUCUUACUUUCCUUCACUACUGUUUUCCCCGAUCGAUAAGCAACCCAACAAUACCUUAAACCCGAUUUUCAUUUCACAGUACCAAAGAUACUCCCCCAACUGUUCCCCAUCGAUCUUUCUCCACCGCCUCCUCUAUAAAAUUCGACAACCCGUUAAGAAGAUAAGUAUUCAUUUCCCCCCUUAAUCCUUCAAUGGCCAAAAGAUGAGCCACUUGGUUCCCCUGCCUUUGAAUAUGUAAGAAUACACAGUUUUUAAAUCUCUUCCUCAAAGAGUUUAGAUCUAAGAUGCAAGCACCGAUGCAUGACUCAUCUUUCCUGUUUUCCGGUAGUUUCUUUAUCACUGUAAGCGAAUUGCCUUCGAUCACCACAUCUUGAAACUCCAAAUCAAUGCCCAAUCAGACUGCUUGGAGAUGUGUAAUAGCUUUCGCAGCAAACACAGUUGGUAUUUGAUUAUUAAAAAUUGUUGUUGACCUCAGAACAACCCCCUUUGAUUUCUGAUAACAAUCACCUAACAUGAUUUUAGGGAAUGAGCUUGAAAAGCCCCAUCAAAAUUUAUCUUUAUGAAAGCGUCCUCUGGAUGCCUCCAUCUUACAAUCUCAACUCGAGUAAUAGGUAACCGUUUAUUAAAGGCAUCUAAUUCUUCUAAUUGAGCUUUAAUCCUUUCUACUAUUACUUGAGCCUGAUUUUUAAUCCCAUCAUGCACAUAUUUAUUUCUUUUAGUCUAUAACACCCAAAGGGUACACCCCACCAUCCUGCAAAUCUAAUUAGACGAGGUAGAAAAUAAAUUAUCAAGCCAAUCUUGAAAGAUAACAACAGUGAACUCCAUAUACCAAUAAAUGUUUAAUUUGUUCCUCACUUCUACUGCAGUGAUACAGUCCCGAAACGAGUGCUCAAGAGUUUCUGAGCCAUUUGAACACCUUGGGCACACAGGAGACCCAUUAAUCUUCUAUUGUAGAGGUUGUAGAAAUUAGGAAUAUAAUUUCAAAAAAUCUUCUAAACUAUAAUUUUUAUCUUCUUCAGCAGGUUAAGUUUCCACGACUUCUUGAAAAAAUUUGUAUAAUUUAUUUGAUUUCAGUAUAAGGCUUAGAUAAAAAUGAAUUUUGUAUAAGAAUGUUGUACCCACUAUGAAUCGAGAACACCCCAGACGCCUCACCUCACUAGGCAAUCGAAUCCUCCUGAAGUGUCUGUGCUAAAGGAAUACAUAGAAUUUUCCUUGCUUCCUCAGCACUAAACAUAUUGGUAAUCAACUAAAAAUCUCACUACCCAAUUUGUUGAUCAAUUAAAUCAGAGACAUUUACUAUAUUUUGGCCAAUAGAUCUUAUCUGAAUUUUGUCCCCCUCCAAUCCAAGAACCCACGCCUUUGUCCAAACAUUAAUUUUGGAACAAGUACCACACACCUACACAAACCCUCUUGGAGUAAUCCCUCUAUAGACCAUAUGAUCUUCUAGGCAUAAGAGGGGUAAGCUCCCAAGUUUGAACUCAUGAAAUUCAACUCCAGGUAAUACUUUACUUUUAGCAAUCUUGCUAAUAACGUGUUUGUAUUAGUCAUUAAAUGCCAACCUUGCAUUGCUAGAAGUGCCAAAUUAAACUUCGUUAAACUUCAAAAACCCAUUCCCCCAUUCUUCUUGAGAUCACAUAAAUUCAACCACUAACACCAAUUAAUCCCUUUCUUUUCCCCAUACAUUUGCCACUAAAAUCAACUAAUAAUUCCUUCCGAAUCUAAGCAUAGGGACUUUGAUAAAAGAAAACAGGACAUAACAUAAAUAGGGAUGGCCUAAAGAACACUUUUUUAUAAAUACCUCAUUACCUCCCUAUGAUAAUGGCUUCACACACUAACUCUUAAUACGGCUUAGCAUACGAUCUUUCAACAAAUUAAAAGCUUAUUUCUUUUUUCGUCCCACCAUAUUAGGAAGGCCUAAAUAUUUUUCCAGGUCUAAUGAAAAACGUACCUCUAAUUCUUCAGAUAUCAUUCUUUUUUGUUGUUCUUGUAUGUUUGAACUAUAAAAAAAAAAAAGAAUUUAUCAAAGUUAACACAUUGACCCAACUUCUCUCAUACUCCCACAAAAUCUGCUUUAAGACCAAUGAUCAUUCUCUUGUGGCUUCACCAAAAAGAAUACAAUCAUCAGAAAAUAAUAAAUGAGAUAUUUCUGGCCCUCAACGAUAGAUUUUUGCCUUUUUGAUAAACCAUCAUUCAUCACUAAUCUCAUAAAGGCUGAAAGACCCUCACUACAUAUUAGAAAAAGAUAAAGGCUAAGUGGAUCACCUUGAUUAAGGCCCCUAGCUAGUAUAACGACCUCUCAUGUUUCCUCGUUAAGCACUACAGAAUAAGAAAUCGUACUAAUGCAUUCCAUAAUGAAAUUAACCCAACCAGUUGAAAAAACCCAUUUUUUUGCAUUACUUCCCUCAAUAACAUCCACUCCACUCUAUCUUAUGCUUUACUUAUAUCAAAUUUCAAUGCAAAAAAACUCUCCCUCCACUUUUUUUUUUUCAAAACAUUCAAAACCUCAUAUGCUAAAAGAACAGUAUAUGUGAUUUGUCAACCCAGAACAAAAGCACUUUAUGCCUCAUUGAUACAAUCAUUCAACACUUUCUAGAAUCGAUUUACCACUAUUUUCAAGAUAAUUUUAUAAAGAACCGGACAUAGACUAAUGGGUUAAAAAUGAAAUAACCUGGUCGGAUUUGCAAUUUUGGAAUAAGAACAAUGUAAGUACGAUUGAUCUCCAAUAAGGAAGUUCCUCCAUUAAGAAUAUCUAGACAAAAGGAACCAAUAUCUUAGUCUACAAUAUGCCAAUACUCCUGAUUGAAUGGCAAAAUUUUAAUUUUGAUGAAAUUAAAAACAAACAAAUGAAAUUAAAAGUUUCCUAUGCAAAUUUAUUUUUAAUUUCAACUUAAACCAACAUAGGAGAGAGCUCUUUAAGCUGAUUCUUCAUAUUUUUACUUCAUGUGAGUUCAAUUCUUACCAAUUUCUUGUAAUUUUUAUAUUUUUGAGAUUGUUAUAAUUAGGUCCAACUAAACCAUACAUUCGUUUUUUAUUUUAAUAAAAAAUUUGAAAGUUUCUAUUGAUAAAUAUUAGAUGUUUUUGAUGAAUAACAUGGAUUUAGAGCUUUGAUUAUGUUGUAUGAUGACUUUAUAAAGUGAUUUUGUUAAAUAUUGAUUUUAGGAUUAAAUUGUGAAAAGGUUAAAAUAUUAAGAUUUGAUAGUGAAUUUUGGGUUUAUUAAGGGCUGUAUGAGGGCCUAGAAUAUUUGGAUAUAUUAUUGAUUGAAGAAAAUUAAUUAAUUUGAUAGAUUAACUAAUUAAGGGAUUAAAUUGUAAAAGUUUGGGGCAUUUGCGUGAAUUCAAAAAAUAAAAGGGUAUUAAUUGUAAAAUGAAAUGGAAAUGAAAUAUAUGCUAAUAAAUGAGUAACUUUUUAUUCUAGAUCAAGAUCCUGUAGAUACUCGUGAAAAAGAAAAAAUAGCAGAAUCGUCUCUAAACUUCUACAAUUACUACAAUUCAGUCUAGGUAAGUUCAUAUGAUUAAAAUUUAACAUUUGUAUAAAUUUUUGAAUGGUAUUAUGCAUUUAUUCUAUUGUUGGAAAUAGAUUAUUUUUGGAAUUAUAAUAUUGAAUUAGAUAUUCGGUUUGAAUUGAAUGCGGGAUUUGAGUACAUUUGCAAUUUGGUGUAUGAUGGUAUUGGAAGGAGAUAUCAAUAUUUUACCUAAGUAAAACUAGGGUCCAGCAUUUGUUGCGAACUUUCGUGUUUUACUUUCUGUUUGGUGUGAUUGGGUGGAUUAGCUCUUAUGAGCUUCUGUUCAGCUUUCGAGCUUGGCGUAUUCGGUAAGACUAACUCUUAUGAGCUUCUGUUGACGAUGUACUCUUAUCUAUAAGUCGUUCUUUAAAUGGAAAGAUUUUGAUAAAGUAACUUAUUUAAUGAAUUUGAAAGACAUGUUAUUUAUGUUUGUAUUGAUUUGAAUACGAAUGUAUUAUCAAGUGAAGUUGUGAAUGACAGGGAGUUGACAUAAAUGAUUUUACUUAUUUGACUUGUUAUAGUAGGUUUGGUAAGAUUUUUAUUUAACCCGUCGAACUUACUAAGCUUCAUUAAGCUUAUUUGUAUAGUUUAAUGUCUUUGUAGAUUAUUGGAAGAUUGGACGAUCGGAUCAGCACUCAAGUCAUAUUAUCCAGCUUAUCUCAAUAGUUUUUGAAAUGUUAAAUAAGGUUUAUAUGGCAUGUAUAGGCUUUCGUACGGUCUUAGUCAAACUUUAGCUUAUGUAAAUAUUAUAAAUAAUAUUUUGUUUAUAUAAUCAUCUUAUAUAUUGGUAUGAGAAUAAUGUAUAAUUAUGAUGUUAGUAUAAGUGAUAUAUGUAUGUAUGUAUUUAAAUUGUAGUGAACUUGGGUUACUUUGUUAGGUAAUUAUUUAGGUAAGUUUGGAUGCUUAGUUGACAUGUUUUUAAGUUGUCAUUUGAGGUGCCUAAGGGAAUAUUGGUUGUAUGUGGUGAUAAUACAUGUCUAAGACUUGAUUUUAGCUUGUUUUGAAUGCCUUGUUAUGACUUGAUGAUGUGCAAUUUGUUGAAUCUAGGUUGAUGUCAAUUUGGGUGAGAAAAAUGUGGCUUGAAAAAUGGCCUAUUUUCUUUCACACGGGCAGAAAUAUAGGCGUAUGUCUUAGCCAUAUGUAACACAUGGUCAAGUGACACGGCCAUGCGUCCUUUGUAUCUUUUUAAGAAUGCAAGUCAGUAUGUUCACACGGCCUAGCACAUGGACGUGUGACUUGUUUGUGUAACCCAAGUCAGAGAAUUAUACGGGCACGGACACGGACUAAGACAUGGCUAUGUGUCCCUAUUUUAAAUGCCCUCAUGGCCUAAGACACGGGCAUGUCUCCUGACCGUUUGAGUCAUGCGGCCUAGCCACACGGCCAUGUGACCCCUGCAGCUUUAAAAAAUUCCAAUAUUUUUUGAAAAAUUCUUUGAGUGCCUGAUUUAGUCCUGACUUGUUUCUAAUGUGUAUUUUGGGCCCAGAGGGCUCAUAUAAAGGACAAUAUGUUUGAUUUCGAUUGGUUUCUGCCAUGAAUGUUAUAUUAUAUGAAAUGUCUGUUUAUUUAAUCUAUAAACUUCGGUAAUACUCCGUAAUCCUAUUUCAGUGAUGGAUACGAGUUAGGGGUGCUACACCCCAGUUAAGUUACUGCAGAUUUUUUCAUUCUAGAAGUUAGGUAUCAAUACUUGUCUCUAAGGGUACCACACCCUACGUGCAGGAGACCUUAAAACAUGCCAAAAUAUUUUCUUUUCAUGCCAAAAUAAAUACCUUUCAUUCCCAUACCUCAAUUAUCCAUUUUAAACAUAAAAAACCAUCAAAAUAACAUGUGCACUACUUUCAUACACAAAAAGUUGCUCCAAUCAUAACUUGACACGUAUACCUUAAUAGUAAUGAUAAUGACAGUUACAUUGGGAACCCAAUAAAUACAUCAUAAUAUGUCGCACGCUUCAAUAGUUUCAUUAUUAAAUACAUAAGAAUAUAUAUAUGAAGCUUUCUACCUCACUAUAAAUCUAACAAAAGCUAAAAAGCCUUAAUAAUUCAAAUUUCAAAUUUCAAAAAUAGAUACAUGUAUAAAUAAAAACUUAAAUAAAAUAAAAGCACACAUAAAGUACAUAGUGCUUCGAAAUGAAUUUCUAAUUAGCUAGCCAAAAUUUCAAUAUCUACACCAGUGAUGCGAACUUCUCCAAUAGGCUCAAGAAGGUCACUUUAUAACCUUCUCUCGCUUGGGGGACAAUUGUUAUACCUACGUAGUAGACCUCAUGGACCUUCUAGUGUACCUAAAGAGAACUUGACACGUGUCUCCUGACGUAACCGACAUCACAAAGGAGCAUGCAUAGUCAACCUACCAACCAGCAUGGAAGUCCAAAUUCAUUGAUUACCAAGCAUUCCUAAUUAGGUCGUAGUAUCAUUGUCACUACCAAAAGUGCCAAAUCAAACUUCCAUAUCAAUUGCCACGUAGUGAAGUUUGUCUCCCACUAUAAAAGGACCAUGCAAAACUCCCACACACUCAUGUACUCACUUUUUUCUACUAGAACAAAGAAACUACUUCACAAGAGAUUCAUCUUCCUACCUUCUCUAAACAAACCAUUGUGUAAACCACUAACUUCCUUCCCUAUUAAUCCUAGUGAUUGACAAAUUCAUUAAAAAUUAUUAAACACAAAUAAAAUAAAGUACUAAACAAAUGUGUUUGUAAAGAUCUACAGUAAGCUAAACUAUAUUGAAUGCUGAAAAGGGAUUUUUCUUUCAUUCUCUUUUUCAACAGUAUAUUAGUAGUAUUUAUAGAGUACAUGAGUUGCUUAGUAACUAUUGCUAACAGCAUAACUGCUUGAAUAAUAAACUAACAGCUAAUUAGACUACCAGCUAACAGACUAACAGCUAUUAGACUAACAGACUCUAACAUUCACCCAGCUUCCCAACAGGCAACACCCGAAGAAGACUUCGAAAUUGAGCAAAGAACAAAACAGAGAGUGGUUUGGUCAGAAUGUCAACAACCCGAUCAUAAGCAGGUACUUCACCAAUAAAAAUAGAUCCAUCAGCUACUUUCUCGUUGACAAAAAAUAGAUUAAGCUCUAUAUGUUUGAACUUGGAGUGUAAAACGGGAUUAGCAGCUACUGUAACUUUACUACAAUUGCCACACCAAAUAGUAGGUGGAUCGAUAGACUGAAGUUGUAACUCAUUGAAUAACGAUAUCAACCAAGUAACCUUACUAGUGGCUACAGCAAGACUUCGAUACCCAGCCUCAGUCGUAGAUCGUGAAACAACUUGUUGUUUCUUGGAGCACCAGGAAACUGUGGUGUGACCAAAAUACACACAAUAGCCCAUUAUAGAUUGGCGAGCAUCAAAAUCCAGCCUCCAGUUAGCAUCAGUAUAACUGAUUAGAGACAGUCAUGUAGAGGGACGAAAAAUAAUCCCAUAGUCAAGAGUACCACACAAAUACCUUAAGAUUCGCUUUAAUGUAACCAUAUAAACAGUAGUAGGUUCAUGCAUAAAUUGACAUAUACGAUUUACUGCGUAGGAAAUAUCAGGCCGAGUCAACACUAUAUACUGUAAGGUACCUGCAAGACUUCUGUACCCAGUGGGAUUAGGUAGACAAUCCCUGUCAUUCUUAGACAUAGUGGACGAGCUAAUCAUUAGAGUAUGGACACUCUUUACAUAAGUCAUAGUACUCUUGUCUAGAGAUCAUAGAUGUACUUUCGCUGGCAAAGAUGAAGACACCCUAAGGAUGAACGAGUAACCUCAAUCCCUAGAAAAUAGUAGAGAUCACCUAUAUCUUUAAGAGAAAAUUUCUUAUUCAAUUGCUAGAAAAAACUACUUAUACAGUAAGGCAUGCUUCCAGUAACAAUAAUAUCAACCACAUACACAAAAACAUAAAGAGUGGAGUCAAGCGUAACUCUAACAAACAAAAAUGCAUCAGACAUUGAGUGAGUAAAACCAAUAGAGAAGAGAAAACACUUCAAUUUAUCAAACCAGGUACGCGAAGCUUGACGUAGACCAUAUAAAGCUUUCUUCAGACGAUAGACCAAAGGUUCGCCAUUUGAACCAUAUUGGACAUACCUCAGAGGUUGCUGCAUGAACACAUGAUCAUCAAGAUUUCCAUUUAAAAAGGCAUUAUUUACAUCUACCUGUCGAAGUUGCCAACCCUUGAAAAUAGAAAUGGAAAGUAUGAUACGAAUAGUAGCAGAUUUGACUACUAGACUGAACAUUUUCUUGAAAUCACACCUAGGUACUUGAGAACAUCCUUUAGCUACUAACUGAGCCUUACACCGGGCGACAGUGCCAUCAAGAUUUUUCUUUAUCCUGAAUAGCCAUUUGCAUCCGAUUACUUUGUAAGUAAUUGGUAAUGAAGCAAGAUCCCAUGUGGAAUUACGAAUGAGAGCAUCAUACUUAACUUGGGUAGCAGCAAACCAUUCGAUGGUAGAAAAUGCUUCUUCAAUUGUAAGAGGCUCGAUAGCUUCAACCAACAAAGUUUUGGACUUAAAAAUGCCAGCCUUAAAUCGAGUGACCAUCGGAUGAGUAUUUGUCAGUGGAAAAUGAGGCACAGGAGAGGAUGGACGACAGGCGAUGAUAGAGUAUUGGAAGCAGUCCUGUUUGGAUUGAGAAUACCAUCGUUGUUGGAUAAAGGAUAUGGUUCAUGAUCAGAACCUAGUUCAGGCUGAGGAGUAUUGGAGAUAGAGGGUGAAUGACACAUAAUAAGAGGUGGUGAUGACUCAGGGGGUUGAGCUGACGAGGAUGCUACAGGUGGACAAGAGACAGAAUUAACAAGAGAAACAUUUGUUGGUGAGAGAGAGUGAUCAAACGAUGAAGUGGAACCUCCCAAAGUAGACAUACAAGAUAAAAAUCGUUGUUCAUCAAACACAACGUGAUGAAAGAUGACUAUCUAACCAUCCAGUGUGAGACAUUGAUAUCUUUUAUGUUGUGAAAUAUAUCCCAAAAACGUACAUGGUUGAGAAUGAAAAUCCAACUUGUGACUUUUGUUUAAUAGUGGAAAUCCAACUUGCAACUAAAAACAACAACACCCGAAUACUCGUAGAUGAUCAUAUGUGGGAUCAUAUUUAUGAAGAACUUUAAACAAAAACUCUCCUUUCAGUGCCGUGGUAGGAAGACGAUUGAUGAGGUGGACAGCAUAACAAAAUACAUAUCCUCAAUAGUCCAUAGACAGAUUUGUUUCGGCCAAAAGGGUGAUACUCAUGUCAACAAUGCGCCGGUGUUUACGCUCAGCCACUCCAUUUUGUUCAAACGUGUGUAGACAAGAUAGUCUAUGGAUUAUCCAUUGAGCUGCCAAAAUAGAUGUGAAAGCUUGAUACUCGCGCCCUAGUUACUCUAAAACUAUUUGAUACGUUUCCCAAACUGUGUUUUAACUAACUGCUAGAACUGAAUAAAACAAUCCAUUACUUGUGAAUUUUGAUGAAUAAGAUAAAUCCAAGUAAACUGAGUGCACAUGUCAACAAACGAUACAUAAUACCUAUUACGCCCACAGACAACAGACGCAAGCCCCCAAAGAUCAGAGACAACCAAAUCAAAUAGAGUAUUGUUGUAAUGCCCUAAUUUUCGGGAAUUCUGUGAAUGUUGGCAUAGGUUUAAUUAUGUUAGUGGGCCUCUAGAAGGCCCAAGCUUAAGAUAGAACCCGACAAUUUUAGUUAAUUUUUGUUCCUUAAGAAAAAUGGGGUGAAAUUAUGAAAUAGGACCUAUGUGAAAAUGUUUGAAAAUGCUAUAGGCUAAAUUGAAGUGGCCAAAUAAAUAAGAGUGCAAAAUAGGAGGAUUUGCAUGACAAACCUCCCAUUUUACAUGAAGUGGCCAGCCAUCAUGUUGUUGUAGACAAUAUGAGCACUUGAUAUCCAUAAUUCAUGGUACAAAUUGAUAAUGGGUUAGGUAAAUGUUCCAUGAUAAUGGUUUAGGUAAAUGUUCCAUGAUGGGCAUUUCAUGUCUUUUGUAUUAAAGAGUUAAAUGGAUGAAAUAUGAAAUUUUAUUAAAAGAAAAAGGGGUGAAAAGAACAAAGUUUUGUCCAUCUUUGUUCAUCAUAGCCGAAAGUUAGAGAAGAGAAAGGAGAGGAGAAAGCUCUUGAAUGUUUGGUCACUUGGGGAAGAAAAUUGAAGGUAAGUUCAUGGUAGUUUACUUCUAUCUUGAUGUUCAUGAGUUCUUCUUGAUUCUACCUUAACUCUUGAAGUAUAUUUUGGUUUUUGGUUGUGUUGUGAGCAUUUGGUCAUGAAUUAAAAUGAAGGAAAUGGUUGUUGUUUCAUGUUCUUUUGAUGAAAAAUGGAAGAUAGGUGAAGUUGAGCCAAACAAAUGAACAUGCAUGUGCCUUAGAUGCUAAAGGGAAAAAUCGGCUAACAUGUUGUGCUUUAAAAUGAUGAAAUGGAGAUUAUAUUUUAGUAAAAUCAUAGAUAUGUGAUGAUUGAUUGGUGAUAUACAUGUUUAAAUAACAUGCAUGCAAGUUAUGGGUGAAAGAGUGAAUUUGGUAAUAAAUCUACUUGGGACAGCAGGAGUAAUGUGACUUUGGAAAAUCACCAUAAAUUAUGGGAGAUGAAUUAGAAGCUGAAUAAAUUAUGUAAUUAAAUCUUGUUGAGUCUAGUUUCAAAUGAAAUAAACGAGAACAUAUUUUGAAUUCUGUACAAUGAGAAAUUUGAUUCGUAAUGAAGAGUAGUCAGAUUAGUCAAACAGUGAAACAUGCGAAACUUUGAGAAAAAUCUGGUAUUGAUUGGCCAAACCAAAAAUUCUGAAAAUUUUAUGGAUAUAAGAUAUAUGAGUCUAUUUUCAGGACAAAUUAACGGCACUUGAUUUGGAGUUUCGUAGCUCCAGUUAUAAAUGAUUUAGUGACUGUUGCUUAGGAAGAUAGCUUGCAGUGAAAUAAUGAUUAUGUGGUAAACAUUGACAAAAAUUUGUUAAUGAGUUGCUUAUUGAUUUCUUAUAAGCUUACUAUGAUCUGUAGGUGUGGUUGGCCGAAUAUUGUAAGGGUUUAAUACGUAGUUUGUAUUUGAAUAGGUAGAUUAACAUGUUAGUAAUCCAAUUGUAGGCGGUUCGUGUGUGGAUCUCGUCAGCAUAUCGUCGCAAACAGGUGUGUAACUAACACCCUCUUUCUUAGUCUGGAUCGGCAAAAGUCGAAAAGCCGAAAUGCCGAAAACUGGUAUUUUGUAGAUUUGCGAGUGUGCGAAUGCUCGUGAGGUAAAUCGAUUAAUGUUUUUGGUAAGCUGUAAAAUUUAGAUUGCAAAGUGCAUGAUUUCUGUGCCCUCGAUAUUUUUGGGCUUAAUGGGCCAAAAUUGGAAUGAUGGGCCAAUGGGCCCAAUUCGAUAAGAACCCUCGGUACGUGAUUCUGUUAGUACUUGAAAAGUAGGAAUAUGCAUGAAAAACCCUAAAAUAGAUAAAUUACUGAAAUACCUUUAAAAGUGGAAAAUUUACAGUUUUACCCCUAGUAGAUAAAUUACCGAAAUACCCCUAGGGUUAAAUUGACCUAAAUGCAUGUUUGACUGUUGUUAUUUACUGCAUGCCAUGUUGUUAUUAUCUGAUGCAUGGGAUUGGGAUAUUGACGGAGGAAGUACUGAAAGUGGCUUGUCCAUGUACUAGAGGCUUUGCCUCAAUUUACUGUUAACUGAGCAGCAAAGCUACAACUGUGGAGUGUUGGUCUGGGUGGGUUGAGUUAUUCCCCACAUGGAGUGUAGGGCUGGUACGGGUGGAGUGUAGUGGUUGGUGGGUUGAGUAGUCUCCCCAAAUGGGCUUGCAUAUGUUAUUGAUGUUGCAUGUAUUUUGAAAUGGGCCUAUGGGCCAUACUGUUAUCUGAAUAAGGGGCUAAGGCCCAGUUUAUUGUAAUCUGAAAAGGGCUCUGGUCCAAUACUACUGUUACCUGAAUGGGCUUAGGCCUAAUAGGCUUGAGCUGACUUGGGCUUUGAAUGGGUUUUCCUUACAUACUGAGUUUCCCCAAACUCACCCCUUUUAUUUUCAUCCACGCAGGAAAUCCCCAACCAUAGUGGGCUUGGAGCUGUGAGGGAAUUCGGAGUGGCCACCCGUUCUGAAAGUUUGGUUUUCUUCUGGUGAACUGGACAUCCUAUUGUUUACGUUGAGGUUUGGGUUUUUAAAUGUAAUAAGACUGCUUAAUUAUUUUUGAUGGUUUUAAUAUGUAUUACUAAGAUAGGUAUUACUUAUUUUAACUGUUGAAAUUGGAUAGCUUUAGGGCGCGUUUUCAAAAAAAAAAUAAUUGAUUUCAAAAUAACACGACAACAAGCAAAGUUUCCACAAUGAAAGUAUUUUCCAAAAUUAAUCACUUUUCCUAAAAAUGACUUAAUCAAAUCGGUUUCCUAGAAAUAUACAUGACGUUAAGGUGUGGCAAUGGCGGUGUGCAUGUCUAGGAUUGGAUCCGAAGGGAGCUUGGUACUUAAGUAGUCCGAUAGACUCACCUCCUCUUUUCCUGUUUCCUACCUGGUGCAUAACUUCCAUUCACUUUAACCUAUAAUGAAAUUAUCUUUUAAAACACUAAAUAGGUUUUUCUGGAUCAACAAUAUAAAAUGUUUUGAACGCUUCGAUGUGGCAUGUUGGAUCCGGCCAUAACGUCUGGGCCGGGUUUGGGGUGCUACAAUUGUAUUCAGUAAUAGAGUUUGGAAAGGGCAAUUUAUGAGACUUCUCUUUCUGACAUGCAGUACAAACAUUAUCAAGACGAAAUUUAUUGGAAACAAUAUUACACUUAUCUAAAACAUAUUUAACAAUAGAAGCAGAGGGAUGACCAAGGUGCAUGUGCCACAAAGUAAAAUUAUCACAACUGUCAGACCGAGCCUGAAGUCUAAUGUUGGCAAGAGAAUGAGCUUCAAUAGACUGAGUAGACACAACCGGCAGAGAAAAAUAAUAGAGUCCAUUAUGAAUAUGGCCCUUCAGCAAAAUUUCCUGUCUCUUGAUGUCAUUGACCACACAUUAAGUCGGGUGAAAUUCAAAAAACACAUUAUUGUCAAUGGCAAACUGAGACACAGGCAGAAGAUUCUUCUGUAUAGUCGGUACACACAAAAUAUUAGAUAAUCGAAGCAAUUUAUGGUGUGCAUGAAAUACUGAAUUCUCAAUAGACGAGAUCUUGGUGGGAGUCCCAUCACUCAUUGAGAGAGAAGAUAUACCUGAAUAAGGUGUAUUGUCAUUUAAUGUAGAAACAUCGUGACACACAUGAUGUGAGGUCUUAGAAUCUGGAUAUCAAGACGCGAUUCCGACGGGCAUAGGAAUAUACGAAUCAGUACCAUCAAGGUUGGCCUAAAUUGAGUGGCAUGAAUAUUAGACCCAGUAGAAUUGGAUACAUCAGAUGUAUGCAUAUCGAGUAUAUGAGGGAGUCCAAUACACGAAUCAGACCCUGUGUAAACACAAACCUGUUGUUUAGUCCACCAUGAAACAAACGACCCAAAAGCAUUACAAGCAUCGUCAUUGGAAGGCCCAAAGUCACGUCCUCGCUUAAGAGGAGUUUCAAACUCUACAUGAUUAGAUUUUGGCCCAGUUGAAAAAUUAUUUGCUGGUGGCCCAAUAUUAUGAUUCGGACCAGAAGGCCUAUCACGCAUGGAUGGACCAGGAUAGUAACCAUAGAGAGUUGGCCUAACAGUAGCAGACCCGAAACUAGCAGCAGGUUGCCCAAGAAAGGAGUCUGGUCCAAGCGCUAAAUAAAAAAGAUACUGCCCAAGCCGAACAAGCAUGCUUGACCCAGUCGUGUGCCCAAAACCAUUAGCGCAAACAUCAAAAGGAUUAGAAGGCGUACUAGACGAUUGAGGCAAAUAAGUCGCUCCACAAAAUCCUUCGCCAGUAAAAAGAGCAUUUGGCAUCAUUAAUGGGCCAUUAAACCCAGAUGAACUCGUGACGAAAACGAAAGUUUAGCAGCCGAUCUUUGAGCCCCAUGACCGAUUGGAGUUGAAGUUUUGUCUACCCCUAACAACAGACUAGCAUACUCCCGAUUAUAGCGAUAGUAGCAUCACUGGGCUAAAUGCCCAAAUCAGUCAUAGAUCUGACAUUGAAUUCGGGAAUGGAAUCCUCUGCCUUGACCACCAGAUGGAGGACGACCAUUCCAGACAAAUGUCACCACCAAUGGUGAUGGAACAGAUUCCACAAAAUUGGCAUGAAUCAGCACAUCCUCUAAAACCGCACGUAUCUGAUAAUUCUCAUAUUCGAUAAGCAUAUCAAUUAGACAGUGAAAUGGUAUAGGUUUAGAUGAAAACGAUGCUAACAUAAUCACCAUAUCAAACUCCGGAAGUAAACCUGCAAGAACAAUUUCAACUUUCUCCGCCUCCGAGAUUUGAGAACCAGAGGCUUCGAUCAAGGCACAUGUGCUUUGUAUUUUUGCUACAUAUUCAUUGAUAGAGAGGUUACCUUUCUUAAGUGAGUGCAGCUUAUGAUAAAUACGGGACAACUUCACUCCGGUGACUACUGCGAAGAGUCGAGUGGCGUACACCAAACAUUAGACGCCGAUAGAGCAUUUGUAAAGGAAGAUAACAGAGACGGAUUAAUGGUGGAAAGAAACCAGGAGGUAAGCAACCGAUCCUAUUGAAGAAAAGGCGAGGCAUCUGGAUUUGGAACAAAUGAUCCGUCAGCUGAGGUCCCGUCCAAAAAACUAAUAAGUUCAUAAUCUUCAAUGAUUAGCCGAAUAUGCUGCUGUCACUGAACGAAAUUGCCAUUGUCCAAUUAAAUAGUGUCAUGGCGGGGAAAAGAGUGAACAAGUAGAGCAUUAGUAAAUGGCUGACAUCCAUGCUCUACAGAGGCCGAGUCAUCAGAAGCUGCGGUGGCCAUGAGAACUAUCGAAGAUUAGAUCUCCAGGAAUAAGGCGACUGAUACCAUGUAAAGAUCUAUAGUAAACUAAACUAUAUUGAAUACUGAAAAGGGAUUUUUCUUUCAUUAUCUUUUUCAACAGUACAGUAAUAGUAUUUAUAGAGUACAUGAGUUGCUUAGUAACUAUUGCUAACAACAUAACUGCUUGAAUAACAAACUAACAGCUGAUCAGACUACUAGCUAACAGACUAACAACUAUUAGACUAACAGUCUCUAACAGUGUUUUUAGUAAUAAAUGAUAAUACUAAUUUCUAAUGCAAAUCAAUAUAUUAAUGUAUCAUAAUCAUAUUGUUCAAAAAUUAAAAGAAGACACGUAUAUAUGCUUUAAACUUAAAAAUGGGUUUAAAAUUUUUUCCCAUGCCAAUUUUAAGUGCAAAUUAAUAUAAAAAUGUAAUUAAAAAGAUAAAAAAAAUGAAGUAUAGAAAAUACAAAGGAAAAGCCAAAACAUAAUAAAAAUUUUGAUAAUUCCAAUCAAUAAUAUUAUUUGUAAUACUGUUAAAUUUGAAUAUAAAAUUUUAAAAGUUGAGUGAUUCUUGCCCCCAAAAAAUUAAUUAGGAGUGAUUUAAGCUAAAUAUUAUAAAGACACUAUAGAUUUUAAUUAUAAAUUAAAAAUAUAAAUUUAAAAUUAUAUAUGAAUUUUAAUUUAAGCAUAAAUUUUUAUUUAAUGUAAUUAUAGUUAAAGCAAUCACACAGUGGAAUGGCAGGCCUAACAAAAAUAGAUCACGUGUCUGUUUGCAGAGAAGGAUAAAAUACUAUAUGCUCUUGUUGAGAGUCGAACUCAAGACCUCCCGCUUACUAAACGAGUGCUCUAACCAACUGAGCUACAAGAAUUGCUGAAAGCAUGACAGAAAGUUGUUAAAAGAACCAUGAGUUUCAUGACUAAAGUAGAUUACAUGUCAGAACUCAAAAGAGAAUAAAAAGCACCUUGCUCUUGUUGAGAGUCGAACUCAAGACCUCCCGCUUACUAAACGGGUGCUCUAACCAACUGAGCUACAAGAGCCUUGAUGAAAAUUUGAUAGAAUUAACCUAAAGAACUUAGUUUCUUUAACUAAAGUAGGUAUCAGACACCAAAAGAGAAAAUAAAUUACAACUUGCUCUUGUUGAGAGUCGAACUCAAGACCUCCCGCUUACUAAACGGGUGCUCUAACCAACUGAGCUACAAGAGCCAGAUGGUAACGGUUCGGUUAUUUACUUAUAUUAAUUUUAAUAUAGUUUUAGUAUUUACUCUAUUCCAGAAUUCCUUGCACAUGUAUGAACAAAAGUGGCCCUGUCCAAAGAGAUAAAACAGGAAGCUUUUAUCCAUGGUGCGGUUCCUUGGGAACGAGUAAAGGUUUACAAGAGGGCCCCUGCUAACAUUUCAAGCUUCCAUUUACCACCAAUACAUGCAUGCCAUUAAUGUUGAAAUGGGCAAAGCUUUACAGAAAUAUCAGAAAACAAAAAAGAAGAUGAUGGUUUUUUAUGGAGAGGGAUCUGGUUUAUGUUUCCUCAGGUCAUCCAAUUAGAUAAUACCCAAUAUUAAAUGUAACAUUUAAGCACUUUAACCUAUUGAUUGUAACUUUGAGGAUUCCAGCUUGUGUUAAAUUAGAUGAGAAUUUAAUUGAAAAUCGUUUCUAAGAUAAAAAUUAGACAACUGUUAAAAAUAAGAUUUUGUUUAAAGAAAUAUCCUUUUGAUUCAUUUUCAUCUUUGAUUUUUGUAAAUAUUUUUUUAAAAAAAUGUUGACUUUUUAAAUAUUCUUUUAUUUCUAUUUUUUUUUUCAAACAGUUGAACCUAAAAUCGAAAAUAUAAUCGAUUCAAACUAAAAAAAACAAUUAAAAAUCAUAUUUUUUGUCUUAAUAAAAAUAGCUUUUUCCAUUAUACUUUAAUUUUUUCAGCUUUGAUUUUUAUAAAUAUAAUUUCUCAUAAUUUCUAUAUUUUUAUAUAAUUUUUAAUUUUUUAUAAAAUUUUCUUAAUUAUAAUUAACAUAUAUAUAUUUUAAUUUUUCUAAAUGGUUGAAUAGUCAUGUUGAAUCGAUUCAACCGAAAACCAAAGAUAAUCUUGCUCUAUUAUAACUAGAGUAAACUAUGUCUUAUUAGUAAGUUUACACUUUAGUUACUCAAUUUUAAAAUGUUACAAAUUGAUAAUUGAAUUAUUCGAAAGUUAUCUUUUAAGUCAUUAAGUCGCUAAGUUACUAACGAAUGUUUGAUGGUUGUUAACUCACUAUUUAUCUUAUGGUAAACUAUACAGAAGCCCACUCCAUUCGAUCACCUAAUGUCAAAAUAGUUACAAGUUAGUCACCAAACUAUUUGAAAUUUUUAGGGCUUUAUGGGCCUCCAUCACAAUUGUAUUCCAAUAAUCUCACCAUCAUUUGACCUCCUCCUCUAGCAAAUAAACUCACUGAACUAGAGUUUUUUUCCCUCCUCUUUCAACUUUAUGGUUUAAUUUUCCUUGAAAUGGCCUGAAACUUCGUUGAUUUAAAUCCGAAGCCCUGAUGGAGAAGCUCUCCGAUCUCUAUGCACAUUUGUCAGAUGGUUGCCUAACUUUGAUAUGUUCUUCUUCUCAACAAGUCUUUCUCCUUGACUUUUUUGAUUAAGUCUCUAUCACCUGGAACUCUCUAACUAACUCUUGACUGAAUUUGAUAUAUUUGAGUCUCCUUUUUCUUUUGAUAUUUUGAUUUUCUUUUCUCUGAUUUAAUUUUAUCCUUUUUGCUUCUAUAGGUCCUAUUUGGGGCUUGUUGAAAGAGGAUACUUUCUUUCUUCUUUUUUUUUUAUUUGCUUUGUUUUUUUGGUAUUUUUGUUUGCUUUUAUUGCGUUUAUGGUGAUAUAUAUAAUUUGAUAAAAGCUUAUGGUGAUAUUUGGUUGCUGGUUUGGGCUAAGCUUAAUUGUAUAUUUUCUUAGGUUAUAGUUUUGGAUAAAUGGAAAAUGAUAAUUGGGUUAAAAAUAAAGGGUUGUUGAGUUGAUUGGGUCAAAGAUGAGAUAUGGGGUUGAUAAAGGCUUUGUUAGGGUUUGAGGCUUGAGUUGUUAAUAUUAUUUGGAUUAUAGGUUAGAGAGUAAUUGUGCAAAGAUUGAGUGGCUGAAUUGUAAGCUUAUUAGUAGUUCAAUGAUCAAAAUGUAAAUUUACCCAUCCCGCAUUUGAUGUCUUUUGGAAACCUAAUGGGUGAAUGAUCAAUUAGUUUAAUGAUCAAAUUAUAACUUUUUAAAAUUUAGUGACUAAAAUAUAAACUUACUAAUAGUUUAGUAAUUUUAGUAGUUUAAGCUUAUAAUUAGAUUAUUAUAGUCUAUUAGGAUGCAUAUGUGAAGGAUAGAGAGCUAAAAUCAUAAGGAGCAUAAGAUCAGGUCGCAACUGCAAUUAUAGAUUGUUGAGGUAGGCCGGGACCGGUGGAUCAUGUGGAGGCAGUACCAGAUGGUGCUAGCCGCAAACGGAGAUCGAUGUUACCUUCUUCAUUUACAUCCGCAGCUACUAAUGAAUCCAACGUAGACCCCACGCCAACUUCAGUUUGUACUACUAGGAAAGGUCCCUCACUGGGUUGCGCCCCGACAACGUGCAAAGGACGAGGACCCCUUAGAAUUAUAGGCGUACACGAUGGUGAGGGACCCCGGAAGACAACCGCAUGUUCAUCACUUGGGCUCAAGUUUGUGAACCCUGAUCUGGCAUAAAGCGACGGCCUUGAUCGAAAUGAAUGCGCAGUGAUAACAUGGCCAGUGGUCACAAACCGUUGAUGAUGAUGAGCAGUGAAGGAAGAGGCCAGUUUUGCCCGUCGCUCUCUUUUGUGGGCGUUCUGAUGGCCACCCAAAGCUUGAGAAUUGGGAAAUCCUCGGUGACAAUAUUGGCACUCGAAUCUCCUGUUGUCACAAGGAGCUGCUGCAACUGGGAAACCGAAAAGCUUUAGCUUUGAAGAUUGAUUAUUCCUUCCGGUCUCAUCACCGGCGCCAUUGUUUUCUGAUGCACUUCUACUCAUUGAAAUGGCUGCUUUGCUCAUGAUGUAUUAAUUCGUUCGGAUCCUCCAUAGAAUUUAUAAUAUAGGGAAAGGAUCAUUUGCCAUGCAUGCAGACUGACGCAAAUACCCUUUAGAGGGAAAAAUUAUUUGUUCGAUAUCAAAGAGCGAACCAUAUCCAAAACAAUAGGCAGUGUUGUCGAGUUCACUGUGGAUACCUUUUUCUAUUGGAUUCCUCGAAUAGACAACAAUCACUCGUGCGAAAAAAGUAGGUCCUAACCUUUCACUUUAACCAGCGGUUCUGCAUCAUCUCCUUUUAACAUAUCCAACUCUCAUAGUUUAUAAACAACAAUAACGCAUGAGGUUACGACAUGUGUAAGGACCCCUCCAGCAUGAAUUAUAUGAGAGAUCCAAAGGCAUAUAUCCAUCAUCCAAAUAACAUGAAAUACUACAGUACUAUGGUUUCCCUUUUGGUGCACGGUCUAUAUGGAAACGAUAUCAUGUCAAUGAUGGCACUCAGUUCUCACUGUCUAGGCGUUUGAUAGUCCAACCGAUUCCAAUAAUUUUGAAGCGUGGAUUAUUACACACACAAUUUUCUUCUUACAGGACAGGAUGGAAUAAUUACAAAAGCAUUAGUACUUAUCCAUAUAGCUUAAAACAUUUUAUUAUGUAAAAGCUUAAAACAUUUAAUCAUUUUAUUAUUUUAAAUCCAAUUUUAUAUACACAUAAUAACCGAUUAAAGGGUCCACAAGGUACAAACAGACGUACUUUGUGGUAGAAAUUCAACUUUAAUCCCUUUCAAACAUUAGUACUUUAAUUUCAUCUUUUUUCAGUUUUUUUAUUACAUAUAAGAAUAAUAUUUUUGGUCUCUUUCAAAAGUUAAAAAUUGGGUUUUGAUUCAAUUGCAAUUUGAUACAUGAAUUUUGUAGUGCAAUUAUACGUAUGAAACUUUGAUUGUGGUUCAAAUGUAUACAUAAUACUUUGAUUUUGAUUCAAUCAUAUGCAUUUGAAUAAAUAAAUACAUCAAUUUAUUUGUAUAUUUGAUAAAUGUAAUUAUUUGUAUAUGCAAUAUAUAAAUAUGUGGGGGUGUGCCUCACGUUUAUUGGACAUGUUGCAGUUACCUUAGACGAGAAUCAAUGAAGCAACCGAAUAAGGGCCAAAAUAUGCUCGACAUCGAGACGAAGAGGUCCUCGAUGUCAGGACACCGUGACGGUUUUUGGCAAUAGAUGUGGCGAUGACGUUGUGACGAGAAGAGCUGGCACGUCAUGCCAAUUCUUGAUGUUAUGCAGCCACAUUUUGUAUAGCUCAACGAGCUUCUUCUCCUAAUUAGACUCUGAUACUUCAGGGUUAUUAAUAUUGAGCCCAUUUAAAGGGCCUUUGUAACCCUGAUUUAGACAUGCCAAUCAAUAAGGGCUUUUCUUAAUGGUUAUAAAAUGUAGUAGCAUAUGAGUUUUGGUGAGAGUUUCGUGGUAACUAUGAAGAGAGUUUUGUUCUUGAAUUAUGGCUUUAUUUUUAGGGUUUGGAUUUGUACAUUUAGGUUUGUUUUCUUCAUAUUAUAUUCACGUUUGUUUACUAAUUUAAUGAAAAGUCGAAUCCUCUUUUGCCCGUGAUUUUAUCUUCUUUGGAGGGGUUUUCCACAUAAAAUAUUUGUGUUCGAUCUUCUCUGCUUUUCUUGAUGGCGACAAGAUGUAGUCACAUAUGAGUUUUGCUGAGAGUUUUAUGAUAACUAUGGAGAGAAUUUUAUUCCCGAGUUAGGGCUUUGUUUUCGGCGUUUGGGUUUGUACAUUUAGUACAUUUAGGUUUAUUUUUUUCCGUAUUGUAUUCUCGUUUGUUUAUUAAUUUAGUAAAAAGUCGAAGCCUCUUUUGCCCGUGAUUUUAUCUUCUUUGGAGGAAUUUUUCACAUAAAAUACUUGUGUUCGAUCUUCUCUACUUUUCUUAUUCGUCGUUUAUAAUGGUCGAUCCCCAACAAAACAUCAAAUGAUGUUAUAUCAAUAAUUAUGUUAAUUUGUAAGUAUUGGAUCAAAUCAAAAUUUAUGUAGAAAAAUUAUACAAAAUUAAAAUUCAAGUAAAUAAUUUCACAUUAAAUCAAAGUUGAUGCAUAUUUAAAAUUUACCUCAUUAAAAAUUUAAUUUAAUUCAUUUUAAUGUAAAACUUUUAACUAAUUUUUAAAUUUUAUCUUUAACCUAUCACAAAAUUCCGAAGUACUAAAAAAUCUUCUAGCGUGGUACAUUUCACUACAAGCCACCGUGACAGCAUGGCCACGUUUGGUCAUUCUCUGUCAAACGAACUUGUAUAUUUGUGAUAAUAGUACUAAAAAAUCUUCCUCAUGCUAAUACGCGGCAUAUACUUGUCAUGCUUCUCUCUUUCCAUUUUAUAAAUGAAUAAUUUUCAGUUUUGGUUCUUUUAAUAUGCUUAAAUUUGAUAUUUAAUCUUUAUACAUUAAUUUUUAAUAUAAUUUAAUUUUUAUAUUACUUUUUAAUAUUGUUAAUUAGUUCAAAUAGUUAAUAUAGUUAACUUUUCAAUUAAAAUGUUACAUGAAUAUAUAUAAUUUGAAAGCGAAUUUUUAAAUCUAAAAAGUAGAUGAAUUAAAUUUUUAAAAAUAAAAGUAGGAUGACUAAAUUCCAAAUGAAGGAAGUGUAAAGACUUAGAGUCAUGAUUGUUUAAAUCAGACUUGCCAAUCAAAUCGGGAACCAACUGGAGCAUCGAUUCAAAGAAAUACUUCAGACUGCGUAAUUCACAAAUUGAUACGAACUAGUUAAACUAGUUUUUAUUUUUAAAAUAUUUUUUAUUUUUAUUCUUUUUUAAUGAUUAUUUUAAUUUAACGGUACAAACUAAUAGUUUGACCAAUUCAAUCACCAAUUUAUUUUUUAAAAAUUUUAUUUAGAAUAUAUUUUAAUUUUCAAAUUUUUACUCUAAGUUAACCACGCAUUUCUCCUCUUGACAGUUGUGCAAAACCAAACAAUUUUUUUUUUAAUUUUAUGUCAAUUUUAACCCUAGAACAUGCUUAAGAUUUAUAUAUAUAUAUAUAUGAAAGGAAGGUCCAUCUUCCUCAUGCUAACACAUGGCACACACACCCAUCAUGUUUUUUUAUUUUUUUAUUUUAUUUUAUAGAAUUGAUUAAUUUUUAGUUUCAAUCUAAUAUACUUAAAUUUAAGAUUUAAUUAUUAUAAUUUAAUUUUUAAUGUUUUUAUAUUUUUUAAUAUUAUUAAUUAGUUUAAAUGGUUAAUAUAGUUAACUUUUUAAUUAAAAUUUAAGUGGAUACAUAUAAUUUGAAAGCGGGUUUUUAAAUUCAAAAAAUAGAUGAAUUAAAUUUUUUAAAAUAAAAUAAAAAAAUUAAAAUUUAAAUAUACAAAGUAUAAAGACUUAGAGUUAUGAUUGUUUGAGUCGAAUUAGUAGAUCAGAUCAAGAACUAAUUGUAUAAAGAAUUAUAAGCUGGUAGAAUAGUUUGUUUUUCUGUUUUGGAUUAGUUAAGUAUUGAGAUACUAUAAAUAUUUAAUUGUAUUCUUAUGAAAUAAGAUUGAAGCAUUUUUAAAAAAAAUAUUUUAACAUGGUAUCAUGUGAGCCAAUUUUUCUCUGGGGAGUUGGGCCACAUUUUUUUCUUCUUCGGCUCGUUUCUGUUCUCUUUGUUCCUAAUUUGUUUAGGGCACAAAUUCUAAAUUUUUUUCCUUUCUCUUUCGAUUCAUUAUCAUUUCUUUUUCUUCGUGAUUCUCUGCUCUUUUUUUUACUCAUGGCGGAUAUUGAUUUUCAUCAUCCUUUGUUCCUUCAUCCGUCGGAUACACCGGGCACCAUUCUUAUUUCUCAUCGUUUGACCGGUGUUGAGAACUAUUCUGUUUGGAGUCGUUUGCUUCGAAUUGCCUUGCUCGCAAAGAACAAGCUCGGGUUCGUUGAUGGUGAUUGCCGCCGUUCGAUGUAUCCGGACUCUCUUCGUGCUCAAUGGGAUCGCUGCAAUGCUUUUGUCCUUUCUUGGAUUCUAAACACAAUGAGUCCAGAUUUAUCUACGGGGCUUGUAUUUGCUUCUGAUUCUGCUGCGGUUUGGACAGAUCUCAAGGAUCACUUUAGCAAGGUGGACGGUUCCCGUAUUUUCUUUCUUCAUCAAUCUAUUGCACAUCUCAUUCAAGGUGAUGCUACUGUUUCUUCUUAUUUCACGCAAUUGAAAUUGCUUUGGGAUGAAUAUACUGCUCUCGUCUCUUUUUUCACUUGUGAUUGCGAGGUCGCCAAGCAAAAUUCAAGCCAUCUUCAUCAACAACGAUUGUUUCAAUUCUUGAUGGGUCUCAAUGAGACCUAUGCUACCGUUCGUAGUCAGAUCCUCUUGAUGCAGCCUUUACCUUCGGUAAAUAGAGCUUAUUCCAUGAUCGUCCAAGAAGAAGCUCAACAGAGUCUUUCCUCUGUUUUACCUCAUGCUUCCGAACCUAUCGCUUUGCUUUCUACCGCUUCUGGCAACCGUAAAAAAUUCAAUGGUACCUGUGAUUUUUGUAAAGUGAAAGGGCAUAAGAAGGAAUCUUGUUACCGUUUAAUCGGGUUACCACCUGACUUCAAGUUCAACCGUAAGAAGGCUUCUCCGGCUGCUCUUACAGUCUCAUUCGACGAUUCCUUGCUCAAUUCUCAGAGUGCCCCUGUCUUUGCUCCUCAACAGUAUUCUGAGCUCUUGGAGUUGUUGAAUAAAACUCGAACUGUGCCUGCACCUGCUGUCAAUUGUGCAGGUAUCCCUUCUCGUACUCCUUUUUCAGCUAAUAAUAAUUUUUCUUGGAUUUUGGACACUGGUGCAACUAAUCAUAUAUGUUUUGAUUCUACGUUUCUGAAUUUUCCUGUUGCUUACCCUCCUAAUUCCCAUUUUGUUCAGCUUUCGAAUGGUAAACACUCUACUAUAACUCAUUCUGGUUCUUUGUUACUAUCUGCUGAUAUCACCCUUACCAAUGUUCUUUGUGUACCACACUUUAAUCAUAAUUUGAUUUCUAUUUCUAAAUUGGCCCUUGAUUUGCAUUGUGCAGUCAUUUUUUACCCUGAUUUCUGCAUCCUGUAGGAUCUCUCCAAUGGCAGGAUGAAGGGGAUUGGUAGGCAUCUAAAUGGUCUUUAUUUUUUUGAGCCUUUUCUACCCUGGUUAGAUCCCCUACUUCUACUUCUUGUAUGACUUCUAUUGCUGAUUUGAUUUCCUUAUGGCAUGCUAGACUCAGUCAUGUGCCUGUCAACAAAUUACAUCGUUUGUCUUUUUUCAUAAUUUUCCAAUUAAUAAAGACUUUACUUGUUCUGUUUGUCCCAUGGCUAGACAAUCUAAAUUGCUUUUUCUAACUAGUGUUUCUAGGGCAGCAACUCCUUUUAGCUUAUUACAUCUUGAUGUUUGGGGGCCUUAUAGAGUGUCUACCCCUUGUGGCCAUCGUUUCUUUUUAAACAUUGUCGAUGAUCAUACUCGCAUGACUUGGGUGUACUUACUGAAGCUUAAAUAUGAUGUUGUGAUAGCUCUCAAACAAUUUUUUCUCAUGGUCAAAACUCAAUUUUCUGCUGUCAUUCAAACUGUCAAGAGUGAUAAUGGUUCUGAAUUUUUUAACUCAUCAUGUUCUUCUUUCUUUGAGUCUUUAGGCAUUAUUCAACGAAGUUCUUGUAUUGAUACACCUCAGCAAAAUGGUAUUGCUGAACGAAAGCAUAGGCAUCUGCUCGAAAUUGCUCGUGCUUUACGUUUUCAAUCAAAUGUUCCUCUUAAAUUUUGGGGUGACUGCAUUUUAGCUGCUUGUUACAUCAUUAAUCGGCUCCCUUCUUCUGAUUUAGCUUGGUGAACGCCAUUUGAAUUGCUUUAUAAAAAGCCCCCUGAUUUUUCUCACUUUCGUGUUUUUGGGUGCCUUUGUUUUGUAAUUAACCCCCAUAAUUCUGAUAAAUUUUUUUCCAGAUCUCUUCCCUCAGUUUUUCUGGGUUAUUCUCCUUCCAAGAAAGGUUAUAUUUUGUUUUGUUUGGACUCUCAAAAAUUUUUUGUUAGUCGCAAUGUUCAUUUUGUUGAAGAUGUCUUUCCUUUUAAAUCUUCUUCAUUUGAAUUUCCUGUUCUGUUUCCCCCUACUCCUGACAUUUCAAUUUAGAUUUCUUAAUUAUUCCCACUCCUACUCCUCCAACAAGCGCUUCACCACAUCCUGUUCCAACUUCAGUAAGUACAUCUCCACCUUUUGUCUCUCCUACUUUGCCUAUUGUUGAACCUAGGCGGUCUGGUCGAACUCUUAAGCCUCCUUCUUGGCUAAAAGAUUUUAUUCAUCCCUAUCAAUCUCCUUCAUCCCUAGGUGUUUCUUCUUCUAAUUCUGUAUUUUUAUCCCAUUUAUCUCUCAAAACUCAGGCCUUUGUUUCUUCCCUUUCCCAUAUUAUUGAACCUCUUUCUUAUUUUAAGGCUCGCCACUCUCCCCAUUGGGUUCAGGCCAUGCAAGAGGAAAUUCGGGCCUUAGAAUCUAAUCAUACAUGGACUGUUGUUCCUUUGCCUCUAGGGAAGGUUCCUAUUGGUUGUAAAUGGGUGUACAAGGUCAAACUUCGAGCCUCUAGUGAAAUAGAGAGAUAUAAAACUCGGUUGGUUGCCAAGGGCUACAACCAGAAAGAAGGGAUCGAUUACUUGGACACUUUUUCUUCUGUUGCUAAAAUGGUCACUGUUCGAACCAUUUUGGCUCUUGCGGCUUCUCUCAACUGGUCUCUUUGUCAAAUAGACGUGUCUAAUGCUUUUCUCCAAGGUGACCUUCAUGAAGAGGUUUUUAUGAUGUUGCCUGAGGGUUUCCGCAGCCAGGGGGAGCAUAUGGUAAGUCGACUGCAGAAAUCUUUGUAUGGGUUGAAGCAGGCAUCCAGACAAUGGAAUGCUAAGCUUACUGAAGCUCUUAUGUUGGCUGGUUUUGAGUAGAGUAAGUUUGACGACUCUCUUUUUGUUAAAAAGAAAGAAGGCAAGAUGGUCAUAAUACUAGUCUAUGUUGAUGAUCUUCUUAUUAUUGGAAAUGAUAUGGAUAUGAUCAAUGACUUGAAAGGAGUCCUGAAUCAAAAUUUCAAGAUGAAAGAUUUAGGAGAUUUACGGUACUUUCUUGGGAUUGAGAUUUUAAGGUCUCAAGAGGGGAUUUUGUUAAAUCAGCUGAAAUAUGCACAAGACCUUAUCAAGGAUACUGGUUUAAGUAAAGCAAAAGUUGCUCUUACACCACUUAAACAGAAUCAGAAACUAACAACAGCAGAGUUUGAUGAAAUAGUUCAACAGCAUCAAGACGACAAGUUGUUAGAAGAUAAAACAGUUUAUCAGAGACUCAUUGGAAGGCUAAUCUACUUGACCCAUACAAGGUCAGAUAUCACCUUCGCUGUUACUCAUCUUAGUCAGUUCAUGCAAAGUCCAAAACAGUCACAUAUAGAAGCCGCGUUAAGAGUUGUAAGGUAUAUAAAGAAAGAGCCAGGGCUAGGAAUUUUUUUGAAGGCUUACAACAAACAUCAGUUGGUAGCAUAUUGUGAUUCAGAUUGGGCUUCUUGUCCAAUGUCAAGAAGAUCAGUUUCUGGCUUUUGUGUACACUUAGGAGACUCACUCAUUUCUUGGAAAUCGAAGAAACAAUUCACAGUAUCAAAAUCCUCUGCAGAAGCCGAGUACAGAAGUAUGGCAGCAGUAACAUCAGAACUGGUUUGGCUUUCAGGUUUAUUCAAGGAACUGGAGAUAUGUGUAGGUAAACCAAUGAAACUAUUCUGUGACAAUAAAGCAGCUCUUCAAAUAGCAGCGAAUCCUGUGUAUCAUGAAAGGACUAAGUGUAACGCCCCUAACUCGAAUCCGUCACCGGAAUAGAGUUACGGAGUAUUACCGGAGUUACCGAUUCAUUUAUCAGAUAUUUCAUUAAUCCGAUAUCUUUUCUUUUCCACGUUCAAGUCUCGUAUUCAAGUCAUCCAGAUCUUUAUAAAAAAAUUUGAUCGUCGUUUUCAUUUAUUUCAUGUUAUAAUACAUUCAACUAAUGCUCUAAACAAAAUUAUCAUUUUACCCUUAAACUUUUAAUUAAUGACGAUUUCAUCCUUAAUUUAAA